Sycon ciliatum is the source of this 923-nucleotide long non-coding RNA. RefSeq lists it as uncharacterized. The transcript has 4 exons. The record is from RefSeq and is a predicted model, not a curated record. NCBI's taxonomy places the organism in Eukaryota, Metazoa, Porifera, Calcarea, Leucosolenida, Sycettidae.
UGACUCGCGAGCACCGAAAAAAUUGCUCUUCGGCGAGCUGCCUAAUGGGGAAGAUCAAGGUCAAGGUCAAGGUCAAGGUCCUGUAUCGGAACAGAGAGGUAGCCGACAUUGUUCUUCCCGCAAGCGCUGGUUCCGCAGGGCCGGAGGUUUGGCGGUCCACAAGUGCCCCAACUCCCGGACGCUCCCCGCGACUUCAUCUCAGGCUCCAUGCUGGGCGGCGUUGUCUACCAUUGCCGCUCAGGCGACUCCUCCGCCGCCGCGUGUGCGGCUCGCCCUCUCAUGCUUCAAGGCCCACUGUGGGGUCUGUGGUCGGUGCUGCCGCUCUACUCGUGGAUUCCAAAUCCAUAGCUGCCAAAGAUGGCUCUCUCGUCGUGCCGAUUGAACAUGAUCCCUGAUCUCUCGGCGGACUGCCGACUUUCUGCCGUCGCUCGUCGUUUCCAUGUUGUCGGCCCCGCAAGGGGACAAGUGACCGUAAUGGCAGUGUUUACCAGGACCAGGACCAGGUUCCUGCGGCAACGGCACAGCUUUCUGCUUUGAGAAUGGUGAUGCAGUUCUGCAGCAGUUAUCUCUAGGACAGGGCUUGGAUCAGAUCUGCUUUGACUUUGGAAUCUUGCUGGCGUUGUUCUUCGCCUUCUUCAUUUCCGGACUUCUGAUACUGGUGUUGCGUAUCCGCUACAUCAAGCGCUAAUGUCUGCCAGGCGCAAUGCGUUGACGUGUCACUCUGAGGUGCUAAACCUGACUUCAUGAUGGUGCUGUUCUAGUGUUGAGAUGAUUCUGUAUUCCGCUAUGUUUGUCAGUGUCUUUCAUGUUACUAUUUUGUUAGUCAUACAGCCCAUAUACACUCAUUAAUGUCAACUUCAGUAGUGGACAUUCCCAGACAAGUAUUCUGCCUGUCAUGUGUGUGUGUGUGUGUGUGUGUGUGU